This 481-nucleotide ribosomal RNA is filed under the name uncultured bacterium. RNAcentral describes it as "partial 16S ribosomal RNA". It matches the Rfam family "Bacterial small subunit ribosomal RNA", at positions 28 to 507 of the family's 1533-position model. The record is from RNAcentral.
GAUGAACGCUGGCGGCGUGCCUAACACAUGCAAGUCGAACGGAGAUUACGGACGGAAGUUUUCGGAUGGAAGACUGUAAUUCUUAGUGGCGGACGGGUGAGUAACGCGUGGGCAACCUGCCCUAUACAGGGGGAUAGCAGCUGGAAACGGCUGGUAAGACCGCAUAAGUCGGUUAAAUCGCAUGAUUUGAUCGGGAAAUGAGCAAUCAGGUAUAGGAUGGGCCCGCGUCCGAUUAGCCAGUUGGCAGGGUAAAAGCCUACCAAAGCGACGAUCGGUAGCCGGACUGAGAGGUCGGACGGCCACAUUGGGACUGAGACACGGCCCAAGCUCCUACGGGAGGCAGCAGUGGGGGAUAUUGCACAAUGGAGGAAACUCUGAUGCAGCGACGCCGCGUGAGUGAAGAAGUAUUUCGGUAUGUAAAGCUCUAUCAGCAGGGAAGAUGAUGACGGUACCUGACUAAGAAGCCCCGGCUAACUACGUG